Molecule: transfer RNA, 66 nt
Filed under: Rhodospirillaceae bacterium
Lineage: Bacteria; Pseudomonadati; Pseudomonadota; Alphaproteobacteria; Rhodospirillales; Rhodospirillaceae
Also listed under: 1 other name
Description: tRNA-Thr
Rfam family: tRNA
About the family: Transfer RNA (tRNA) molecules are approximately 80 nucleotides in length. Their secondary structure includes four short double-helical elements and three loops (D, anti-codon, and T loops).
Source: RNAcentral
GCUCCUAUAGCUCAGUUGGUAGAGCAGUUGAUUUGUAAUUAAACGGUCUACUGUAAAUUGGGCGUA